This 277-nucleotide ribosomal RNA is filed under the name uncultured bacterium. RNAcentral's name for it is "partial 16S ribosomal RNA". It matches the Rfam family "Bacterial small subunit ribosomal RNA", at positions 28 to 314 of the family's 1533-position model. The record is from RNAcentral.
GACUAACGCUGGCGGCGUGCCUAACACAUGCAAGUCGAACGAAGUAGCAAUACUUAGUGGCAGACGGGUGAGUAACACGUAGUCAACCUACCUCAGCGUGGGGGAUAACUAGCCGAAAGGUUAGCUAAUACCGCAUACGAUCGCUAAGUGGCAUCACAUGGCGAUGAAAGGAGCAAUCCGCGCAGAGAGGGGACUGCGUCCCAUUAGUUAGUUGGUGGGGUAACGGCCUACCAAGACUCCGAUGGGUAGCUGGCUUGAGAGAGCGACCAGCCACACU